This is a long non-coding RNA of Nicotiana tabacum (common tobacco), 1174 nucleotides long. RefSeq lists it as uncharacterized. NCBI's taxonomy places the organism in Eukaryota, Viridiplantae, Streptophyta, Magnoliopsida, Solanales, Solanaceae. The record is from RefSeq and is a predicted model, not a curated record.
AAUACCGGCCGAACCGAAAAAACUGGCCGAACCGUGAAUUUUGAUUUUUCGGUUUCGGUUUAAUUGGUUUUUCGGUGCGGUUUACGGUUUUGGUGUUUCGUUUUUCGGUUUAACUGAAAAAUCAAAAUUUUGGGUAUUAGUUAUUACCCAUUUUAGGCUGAAGCUCAAUACCUAUUUGAACUUUGAAGCCUAAUUUAGUUUGCCCAAACCCAAACUUACUGAUAGUCUGUCUAAUACCCAAACCCACUAAAUCACUAAUAGUCUAAUACACUUAGUCACUUCCCAAUUCACAUUUCCCAAACCUAAAUAAAGAAUUAGAUUUAGGGUUCUUCGGUUCUUCCUUCUUUCUAUGCGACUGCUGCGACUCGUCGUCACCGACUGCUGCGACUGCGAGCUUCUUAACUUCACUCUGCUGUGACCUUAUUCGUAUUUGAAUCCUGAUAUUCAAGCUAAACAUAAAAGCAAAGGUGCUUUGAUAGCUGCAAUUGUAGCAGGUGUUUUUGCUGCAUUUGUUUCAACAAUUAUCGCUGUGUUAAUCAAAAGACAACAUGCCAAAUACCAAAGCAUCUUAUCAUCUAGGAAACGUUUAUCCUCAAGGCUCUCUAUAAAAAUGGAUGGCAUUAAAAGCUUCACUUUAAAAGAAAUGAAUGUUGCGUUAUGUGAGGGUACUCCUAUUAAUGUUGAAGAAGAUUUGGAGUUUCUUGAGCAAAUUCAACUUGAUAUGGCAACGAGCGGAAGAGAAACUUGCAUUGUUGAUGCAUAGUUUGAACAAGUGGUUCAACUAUGCCUCGUGGUCCUAAAGCUAGAUCGCCUAUUUGGAAAUAUUUUGAGCUAGUUAAAGUAAAUGAAGAAGCCCGCAAAGCAAAGUGUCUUCAUUGUGGUCGAGUUUAUAAUUGUCAUCCAAAGUAUUAUGGCACUUAUGGCUUAGUGAAGCAUAUUAAGAAGUGUCUCAUGCCUCAUCCAGUGAUUUGUAUUUAAGACUUUAAGUAUCAUUUGCUAGACUUACUUUGUGGCUUGUGGGUUGUGACUAGUUUGCCAUUGUUUUGUUAUUUGGUGAUGGUAUUUCUAGACUUAUUUUGGACUUUGGUAGCUGCUAGAUUUUCCACUGUGUUAAAUUGUUUUGGACUAGUUUGCCACUGUUGAACUGUACGGUGUUUUGCUACUUAGGUGUUCU